Long non-coding RNA from Panicum virgatum (switchgrass), 621 nucleotides. RefSeq lists it as uncharacterized. The record is from RefSeq and is a predicted model, not a curated record. The transcript has 3 exons. Lineage: Eukaryota; Viridiplantae; Streptophyta; Magnoliopsida; Poales; Poaceae.
GUUAGCCUAUCCAUCUAUCCUCUCUCUCACUCAAGUGCCCUCUCCCCCUCUCACUCAGGUGCCCUUUAGCGAUUCUCGUUAGAUCCGGCAAAUUUACAUCGUGGGAAGCGUAGAUCGGAGGUGGAGAUGCAAGGGGCGUACACGGAGAGGGAGAAACCCAAAUCAAGUAGGGAGGAAGAGGCCCCCUGUGAACGCUGGCGAGUCUCCAUUCCAUCAUCCUGGUACCAGGGCGCCGACGAUGCCAUGGCGAGUUGAGGGGACUUCAAGGAGUGCCGAUCUGCUUCCUAGUUGAAGAUGCUAGGGGGACAAGUCUGGAUAGUAGAGUAUGGCUCUCCACAUCAGGUUUGGCGUCCUGCUUAAGUAUGUUGUUUCACCUGUAGGCAACUUAUACUGAAUCGACAAGUAAUCUAUCUUAUCAUAGUUUAACAUUUUUGUUCUUCUAAUUUAGUAUUUUUGUGUUCCGAUGAUGAUAGGUAUUUCUAAUGAAUUCGAUUUACUUUGCUCUCUCACUUAUCCUAAGUUACUUUUUGAGUCCAUUAUAUCUUUUGAAACUAGCAAAUAGUAUCCUGGUAUUAAUUAAGCAAUUCCUCAUUUUUUAGUUUUUGUUUUUUUGCUCAAUGA